AUUGAACGCUGGCGGCAGGCCUAACACAUGCAAGUCGAGCGGAUGAAGGGAGCUUGCUCCUGGAUUCAGCGGUGGACGGGUGAGUAAUGCCUAGGAAUCUGCCUGGUAGUGGGGGAUAACGUCCGGAAACGGGCGCUAAUACCGCAUACGUCCUGAGGGAGAAAGUGGGGGAUCUUCGGACCUCACGCUAUCAGAUGAGCCUAGGUCGGAUUAGCUAGGUGGUGGGGUAAAGGCCUACCAAGGCGACGAUCCGUAACUGGUCUGAGAGGAUGAUCAGUCACACUGGAACUGAGACACGGUCCAGACUCCUACGGGAGGCAGCAGUGGGGAAUAUUGGACAAUGGGCGAAAGCCUGAUCCAGCCAUGCCGCGUGUGUGAAGAAGGUCUUCGGAUUGUAAAGCACUUUAAGUUGGGAGGAAGGGCAGUAAGUUAAUACCUUGCUGUUUUGACGUUACCAACAGAAUAAGCACCGGCUAACUUCGUG
This 484-nucleotide ribosomal RNA is filed under the name uncultured bacterium. Its description in RNAcentral is "partial 16S ribosomal RNA". It matches the Rfam family "Bacterial small subunit ribosomal RNA", at positions 30 to 507 of the family's 1533-position model. The record is from RNAcentral.